This 3790-nucleotide small RNA is filed under the name Pan troglodytes (chimpanzee). RNAcentral's name for it is "retained intron". Lineage: Eukaryota; Metazoa; Chordata; Mammalia; Primates; Hominidae. The record is from RNAcentral.
UCCCAUUUUCCUUAGAAUUACCUUUUCUUUCUUGGACCUGCCUGCAUACAGAAUAGAUCUGUCUGCAUUGAGUGUAUUCAGUGAGCUAAGCUAAGGGAAGACUGCAGUGGGCAGGGCCUUACUUUCUUGUGAGUGAACUCUUUGCAGGUUUUAAGGAAUAUGACUACUCUGCUUUAAGGGGGUGUGGGGAGCACUUUGUUAAAGCAAUGUGCAUUCUGAAUCCAUUUCAUAGGCGUCCUUACUCCGUGGCAGCUACACCUUUAAUCGUGGAUUAUAAUAACUUUUAAAUGAGUGCAAAACUUUCAGGAUCUUUUCCUUAAGUUGGGAAAUGAGAUUUUUUUUUUCUGCUCUUUUCGGGUAUCACUUAAAUUAAGCUCUGGUACGGAGUCAGGAGUCUUUUUCUUUACACUCCUUCAGCAUGUUUUCCAUGGUACUAGCCGACACUGUGCAGGCGGGUGAGGGACAGGCUGGGGCGUUUCGGCAGCUGACCUGGGCUGCUCUUCCAUUUCAGGUGAUCGUGCAGUCCGGCCGCCACCCCACAGUGCUGCAGAAGCUCUGCCAGUUGCCCUUCCAGUAUUUCAGUGACCCACGGCUGAUCAAAGUACUGUUCCCUUCACUUAUCGCUGCUUGUUACAACAACCAUCAGAACAAGAUCAUUCUGGAGCAAGAGAUGAGCUGUGUUUUACUGGCCACUUUCAUUCAGGAUUUGGCACAGACUCCAGGUCAAGCGGAAAACCAGCCUUACCAACCCAAAGGUAUGUCUCUAUUGAAAUUAAAUUUCAUGUGUUUGUUAGCCAAAUGGACAUCUUUCUUAUCCUUUCCUCUGGAACUGCUACAUUAUAUGUAAAAUUUUAUACAUAACCUAAAAAUAUUUGAGAUUCAGAUACCAAGUAUAUUUCAGUAAGUAAAGAAAUCGAUUUUGUCAUGAAGCAUGAAUGCAUCCAAAUAUGUAUAGAAAUCUAUGGGAGUAAAAGAAAAGCACAAAUAUCUUUGUAUAAUUUAUAAUCAUCUCAUGCAAGAUAUAUUAAAUGGUAAAUAAUUACUAAAGAGCCGCUUUGUAAUACAGGAGCCAGAUCAUUAAUACUGGCCCACAUUUCUCACAUAAAUGCUGAAAUCACAUAGGUUUGGUUCCUUAUCCAUGUUCAGAAUAAAGUUAUCAGUAAUAGUAGCCCACAGUUUCCCCCCAAGUUCAAGUAGUUGAACUUUUGUUUUGAAAAUAAUUGUUUUACAUGGAGAAAAAGUCAUCUAAUUGGCAAAGUCCAGGGCAAAAGAUUUACAAGUUGUUUUUUUUUCCUAUAGCAUUCCUGCUGGGGUGUUUGCUGUGAUCAGAGUUAGAGAUGUAGAAUUUUUACCACAUUUUUACUUUUUUAAAUAUUCUGCUACCCAGACUGUAAUUGAGAAGUACAAGUUGCUCUUUGGGUGUUAUGACAGCAUCUCUGAUGAAUGAGACCCUAAUCCAGAUCUUCUUCAAUUCUUCCAUUAGUUUGAUAGUCUUUAAAGUGGCCAUUUAGAGGUACACUCCCAGCAGGACCCUUUAGGGCACCCACCAAGAAACCCUUACUUGGUGGGGGUGGGGGUGUUACCUUGGACUCUUUCACACACACACACACACACACAAAGUCCUCUACAGUGGACAGGUGUUGAAAAGUGCACAGAAGAAAAUAUAACUAAAGCUAUUACAAUAUCAUGAAAAGAAAAAAAAAAGACUUUUUUUUGACUCAGGCACCCAGAAAAGUUAAACAGAAAGCUAUGCAACUUUUCAGAAAUUCAAGUCCACAUCCUUGUCGGUACCAUUUGUCUGAGCAAGAAUUAGUCUGCAAGUUCAGUUCUGCCCUGACCCAGUCACAGCCCUUUUUUUGUUUUGUUUUGUUUUAACUACUGGAGGAUACUUGGGGAGAAAUCAGCAAAAUGUGUUACUGUUCUUACAAAACAAUUUCAUUUUGAAUAAAUUAAAAUGCUUAGAAAAAUCUAAUGUAUUUAUUUUCAAUUGUACAGCAGUUUUGUUUUGUUUUGUUUGCCACUAAGAAGUAUAAGCAUUUUUUUCUUACUCUUUCUCCUGAUCAUAAAGAUGAGUCACAAUUUGUUACAUUGUCUGGAAGACACAGUCCCAGAAGCUGCCUCUGUCUGCUUGGUGGACUGAGGCCUGUGGAAGUCUCAACCUUCUUUCUUUUCCAAGGGACCAUCUUCCCUGAUUUUCAUGCUUUCCCCCAGUUACAGUAGGCUUAACCCACAGAACAGCAAAGGGGGAAUUGGUCUCUCCUUUGCUCAGAAAGGGUCAUCACUAUGUUAAUGACAGCUCGUAAUAUGUUGCUUGAUUUUUUUUUUUAAUGAUGAUGCCUAAGUUGCCAGUUUGCACCUUGGGUAUUUGUUCCCCUUUUGCCUAGAUUAAGUCCUCAUAAAAUGUCUCAAGAUAUUUUGAGUUCAUUGUCCAGGUAAACCUUUAAAUAUAAAAGCAGCUCUUGGUAAUACCACAUUCCUAUUGCCCAGGAAGAAUUUUGGUUUUCAAAUACCUACUGCCUGUCUAGCUGCAAUUGUUUACUUUACCUAUGUCACUGGCCAGUAAAGCUCCUAUCAUUCAUUCCUACUGCUUUGUUUAGAUAGGCUGUGCUAUAUUUGAAUAAUUUUAAAGAUAUACUUAAAACUACAUUCAUGUUUUAAAUUAAAUAGACUUUCAGAAAACGUCAUCAUUUACAUACAGUUUUCCCCUUUCAUGGCUAACUUAAGGAUAGAAUAUAGGACUGUCAUUUUAGUUUGUUCUUUUUUUUUUUUUUUUUUUUUUUUUUUUUUUUGAGACAGGGUCUCUCUAUGUUGCCUAUCCUGGAGUGCAAUGGCUACUCACAGGUGCGAUCAUAGCAAACUAUAGCCUCUAACUCCUGGGCUCAAGCAUUCCCCCGACUUCGGCCUUCCAAAUAGCUGGGACUACAGGCGCGCACCACUGUGCUUGCCUGGUUGCUAAUUUUUUUCUCAUUGUGGAGUCCAAAAACAUCUUUUUGUAAUUUAUAUAGGGGUUAAUGUCUGAAUAUGUUAAAGGACAAACUGGAUUGUGGUUAAAAUAUAUGUCAUAUAUUUUAUACUACAGAUAGAUUGAUACACAUAGAUCAAUCACCUUAUUUACCUAAAUUGUGUCAUGGUUUAUUUGAAGUGGAUAUCUCCAUUUUAUACUCAGAUAUCAAAAUAAGUUUAAUUUAUGAAUCUUCAAAGAAUUUAACCCUCUUUUAUUUAACUUUUUUCUCUUUUAUCCCCCUCUCAGGGAAAUGCCUUGGUUCCCAAGACUAUCUUGAGCUGGCUAACAGAUUUCCUCAGCAGGCCUGGGAAGAAGCUCGACAGUUUUUCUUGAAAAAAGAGAAAAAAUAAAUGUUUUGGUUGAUUCUGUAUUUGAGUACCCUUGUUAAUAUUUUAAAUUGUUCAAACAAACAUUCUAAUUGUUCCUUAAGAACUCAUUUUCCCAUGUUUAUACUCUUCCCACACUGUAGAUAUGGCGUGUACUUUACACUAUUUAUAAUGACUGUAGAUACUUGAAUGUUCUACUUGCUAAUUUUGCAAGUUGAGUUUAUUUCAUUUAUGCAGAGUAUCUUGGAGUUUGGUAAUUUCCAUCUUAUGAUAAUAUAUACUUUGCAUUUGUAAUAUGGGUUAAAGGAGACAUAAAAUUAGCAAGUCUGUUUUGUUCUUGUAAUAAAGUAACUUAUUCUGUUUUCAUUGUUGACUUUUCAUGUUAAGGAAAUACGAAUCUGAAAGAAAAAUGUUAACUCCAGCUCUUGAAGUAUCUUAAAUAAAGACUUAAUUAAAGUUU